UUGGAGAAUUUGAUCCUGGCUCAGGAUGAACGCUGGCGGCGCGCCUAACACAUGCAAGUCGAACGGUUAAAGCACCUUCGGGUGUGUAUAAAGUGGCGAACGGCUGAGUAACACGUGGGCAACCUGCCCCUCGCACCGGGACAGCCUCGGGAAACCGUGGUUAAUACCGGAUACUCCGCCACCCCCGCAUGGGGGAGGCGGGAAAGCCCAGACGGCGAGGGAUGGGCCCGCGGCCUGUUAGCUUGUUGGCGGGGUAACGGCCCACCAAGGCAAUGAUGGGUAGCCGGGUUGAGAGACCGACCGGCCAGAUUGGGACUGAGACACGGCCCAGACUCCUACGGGAGGCAGCAGUGGGGAAUCUUGCACAAUGGGCGAAAGCCUGAUGCAGCGACGCCGCGUGCGGGACGAAGGCCUUCGGGUCGUAAACCGCUUUCAGCAGGGAUGAGGCCGCAAGGUGACGGUACCUGCAGAAGAAGCCCCGGCUAACUACGUGCCAGCAGCCGCGUUAAUAA
This 512-nucleotide ribosomal RNA is filed under the name Olsenella profusa. Its description in RNAcentral is "bacterial SSU rRNA". It matches the Rfam family "Bacterial small subunit ribosomal RNA", at positions 1 to 526 of the family's 1533-position model. The record is from RNAcentral. Lineage: Bacteria; Bacillati; Actinomycetota; Coriobacteriia; Coriobacteriales; Atopobiaceae.